Molecule: ribosomal RNA, 254 nt
Filed under: uncultured bacterium
Lineage: Bacteria
Description: partial 16S ribosomal RNA
Rfam family: Bacterial small subunit ribosomal RNA
Source: RNAcentral
UACAGAGGUCUCAAGCGUUGUUCGGAUUCAUUGGGCGUAAAGCGCACGUAGGCGGCUUGUUAAGUCAGGGGUGAAAUCCUGGAGCUCAACUCCAGAACUGCCUUUGAUACUGGCAAGCUUGGAGUCCGGGAGAGGUGAGUGGAACUGCGAGUGUAGAGGUGAAAUUCGUAGAUAUUCGCAAGAACACCAGUGGCGAAGGCGGCUCACUGGCCCGGUACUGACGCUGAGGUGCGAAAGCGUGGGGAGCAAACAGG